CUUUGAUAGGCAGAACCUCAAUGUUAGGAUCUUUGGUCCAGAGAACAAAGUUGUUCUUACCGAACAGAAGUUUGUACAAUCCCUUUUGGCACUCCAUGAUAACAGGCAAAUAGAUAUCCCUCUUCGAGGUGGAGUUAUGCCACAUGAUCUUAUGAAAAAAGUUGUUGAGAAGUUUGGAUCUGACUUGCAUGUGCUAAAAGAGAAGUUCCCUGAGGCUGCAUUUAUGCUUAACACGAGGCGCCAUGUCAUUUCUUUCAGUGGUAAAGGGGAUCUGAGGCAAAGAGUGGAGGAUGUAAUUCAUGAUUUUGCACGAUCUCUUAGUGUCAGCGGAACUGCUGAACAACCUGGAGAAGCAGCUGCUACCUGCCCUGUUUGCUUGUGUGAAGUUGAGGACUGUUAC
RNAcentral lists this unclassified non-coding RNA (400 nucleotides) under Hevea brasiliensis (rubber tree). Lineage: Eukaryota; Viridiplantae; Streptophyta; Magnoliopsida; Malpighiales; Euphorbiaceae. The record is from RNAcentral.